CCUCUUCGAUCUGCUGCGGGCAGAUGAAGUGGAUGUGCGUGUCGAUGCCGCCGGCGGUGAGGAUCAUGCCUUCGCCGGCGAUGACUUCGGUGCUGGCGCCGAGGGCGAUGGUGACGCCGGGCUGGAUGUCCGGGUUGCCGGCCUUGCCGAUGGCGGCGAUGCGACCGUGCUUCAGGCCGACGUCGGCCUUCACGAUGCCCCAGUGGUCGAGGAUCAGCGCGUUGGUGAUCACGGUGUCGACCACCUCUGCGGCCGGCAGCUGGCCCUGGCCCAUGCCGUCGCGGAUG
Pseudomonas knackmussii B13 is the source of this 287-nucleotide small RNA. It matches the Rfam family "5' ureB small RNA". The record is from Rfam. Lineage: Bacteria; Pseudomonadati; Pseudomonadota; Gammaproteobacteria; Pseudomonadales; Pseudomonadaceae.